ACUGGUGGCUCUGCAACAGAAGGGUCCAGACAGAACACUGCUAGAAAACCCUCCCAGGAUGAUGGUUUGAAGGAGGACAAGGAAGAGAAUGUGGUGAGCUGGGGUUACAGACGCCUGCUGCCAUGCGUGGCCUUUGACGUGGGUCCUGAGUGUCAACCUGCUCAGCAAGAGCGUUCACCUGCGCAGUCAUCUUGCCAGGCUAAUACUUCUUUAAGGUGGUUGGAGGACCAUAUAAACACUAUCGGAGUUAGUCACCUGACAUUCUAUGCCAGACUUGGUGACAACGGACAAGACCAUGAGGACACAAGCCUUCAGCACGUGAAGAAGACGUAGAGGGACCAUAUGGCUACAGCCAGGAAGCCAGAGCCUGACAGAGCAAGGCAGGCACAGAGAGCCAGUCUCGGGCUCUCCUGGACACCUUCCUACUAGCACAGGGACCCCUUCACACUGGACCUGUCAAUCACAGUGCUCACUCUUAGCUCAGAGACACACAAGGUCUGGCUAUGUGUGGUGUGGGGUUUUCAUUAUGCAGUCAGGCUAGGACUAACAAUCCUCCUGCCUCACAUGGGAUUGUAAAUAUGUGCCAGCUGGAGCCUCUUCACAUUGGAUUCCGACAUAAGCCUCUGUGCACGUGACAAUAGGGACUGCAUGGCCACAGGGAGGCUUUUGUGACCCUCUAAGCACGGCAACUGAGGAAACCCACAAGGAAACAAGAUUCUUUGGCUACUUUAAGAUUCUGCUUGCCUGAGCUGCAGGAAAAGGCUGGACCAUGGGGAAGCCCCAGCUACUCUCAAAGGUCACUCAACAAUGACAAGAGCCCAGCAGGGUCAGGACAGAAGAGUGAGGAGAGACCAGGGUCCCAGAGGGCUUUUGGCCCCGUCCAUCUUUAGUAUCCUCUGCAUGGAUGCUGGUACGAACCUCAGAUGCCAGCGUCAUGCAUGGGCACUGGACUUGAGACAUGUUUAGAGAGGAUCUUAAAAUAAUCCAAUCAAACCAGCAAACUCUCUGCUCGUGGCAGAAGCGCGCCCGUGUGGCUGUUCUUGUGAAGAAACAGCUCUUUGACUAAAGAUAAACUCAAGAGAUAAACUCCGGGCUUCCUCACUGCCCAGACACUUCUGGGUAGAGCAAAGAGGCUACCUGUCUCUUUUUAGCAAGACAUGGCCACCAGUGGUCCACCUGGGAAAACACAGGCAGACAGCGGACAAGAAAGGGACAGCAAGUUCAACGUGGUACUGGGGCUUCUUACCCACAUAUUCCGAGAGGAAGACGACAAAGAACGGAGUGACCAGGUCAUUAAUUCCCUGGACAUACCCACUGGCGGGGUGUCGGAUGGCCCAGAUAAAGAGAAUUCGUUCAAAGAUCUAGGAAGACGAG
This 1374-nucleotide long non-coding RNA is filed under the name Mus caroli (Ryukyu mouse). RNAcentral describes it as "TBC1 domain family, member 22B, opposite strand (MGP_CAROLIEiJ_G0003009.1)". Lineage: Eukaryota; Metazoa; Chordata; Mammalia; Rodentia; Muridae. The record is from RNAcentral.